CCAUUUCUAUUUUUUAAAUGGAUAAUUAUAUUCACACCUUAACAUAACUUGUACAAGAACAUGUUUUUGCUCUUAAGUCUACCACAUUUUGAAUUCCAGCUUUCCAUUUUUCUCCAGAGUCUUCAUAAUUCUUCAUCCAACUUCAUUGUUCCAUUGUUCACAACAACCGCUUUAACUACGAUCAUUGUCAUCAAAUACAUCCUAAUUUGUUUGAUAAUACAUUUACAAUCGAAAGUGAACAGUGUCAAUUAAGGUCAACAUGCUGAGUCUAGGUACCAGAAAAAUUUAGACAAGUAGUAGGCAAAAUUAUGCAAGCGGAAGUGUAAAGAAGAAUAACACACAAUCACUAAAAGAAAUUUGCUAGAUAAACAGGGCUGACAGGCCAGUCCCGCCAUGGGUGGGGUUCGGUCAGGGGGCCCGUCAGACCCUUUGUUUUUCUAGCAAGUCUCUUACUAAAAUGCUAUUUUCGUACAAAUAAACAAUUGAAAAGAUUUUUAAAGAAUAAUCUUCAAGGAUUUAAUUAAGCAAUUGAAAAGAUAUUUAAAGAACAAUCUUCAAGGAUUUAAUUAUAUUACUCAAACAACCAUAACCACACACCCAUGUCCUAUGUUAUACAAACAAAAACAAAAAUAAACUCAAAAACUGAGAAUAUCCAAGCUUAACAAUGAUAGCUCAGCAUCUCAUUUCAACCAUGUGUCAACUGCAGAUUGGCUUUCAAUCUGCAAACAAAAAGCAACAACAAAAUAUGGAUAAUCUCUUAAAUCCACUCUUCAAUUUUAUUUUCCUAGAAAUGGAAAUCUGUUCGGAUUAUUGGCCCUAGAUUUGAUUUUACCUCAAUGAUCUUUUAUUUUCAGCCACUCAGUCAAACCAAAAACAUCAAUCAUUUAGCAAAAAUCACAGCAUCUCAAACAGUAAAUAAAAUGCAGAAAAUGUAAAGAAUAAGAACACCAAAAAAUGGUCACCCAGUUCACCCAAAUAAGGGCUAAUCUGGGGGCUCAAGAUUAGUCCAAUCUACUAUAUAAAACCAGCCUUCCAAAGAGAUCAAUGUACAAAGGAACCAAUCUGACUUUCUCUUAAGGUUCUAAUCAUAGAUCACAUAAAGAUCUCAAGAACCAUAUAUAAGAAUCAACCCUAAACUUGACAAGAACUAACACAGCUAAACUAGUGUACCACGCUAAAAAAUAACAGAUUGAAACCUUUCUUUCAAGUCUACAACACAAUGGUUAUACAAUUCUUUAACCUCUCCAAUAAUCACAGUGAAACAUAAUGGAAAUUGGAAGAAUUUCACAGAGAGAGAGAGAGAGAGAGAGAGAGCCACCUUUUAAAAAUCUCCGGAAAGAAU
This 1342-nucleotide long non-coding RNA is filed under the name Olea europaea (common olive). Its description in RNAcentral is "long non-coding RNA (OEUR_LNC013551)". The record is from RNAcentral. Lineage: Eukaryota; Viridiplantae; Streptophyta; Magnoliopsida; Lamiales; Oleaceae.